This 838-nucleotide long non-coding RNA is filed under the name Marmota monax (woodchuck). Lineage: Eukaryota; Metazoa; Chordata; Mammalia; Rodentia; Sciuridae. The record is from RNAcentral.
GCUAGCUUCCAGAAGCCCCCAAGGUCCCAGCAACUGACUAGCAGGACAGUUGUGUGAAUCCAUUCUCUGCCCUCAAAGGGCUUUGCUGUGGUGCAGCUGGACAGUGGGGAGCCUAGCAGUUGCACCAUAUGGGGGAGUAAGAAGUAGCAUGAGAGCCAGCAACUGUGAAGAGCCUCAGCUGGCUUCAUCCUCGCCCUCAUGCUUAUGACAAAGUUUAGGGUUUUCAGGAGCUGGAGAGAAAAUAUAAGGAGCAACUGCUCAGUGCAGUGUAAUCUGUUAUGGUUUGGAUCUGGAACAUCCCCCAAAGCCUCAUGUGGUGAAGGCUUGUAAUGUUCAGAGGUGGGGAUGUGACUGGAUCAUGAGGGCUCUAACUUUAUCAGUGAAUUAAUCCACUGAAGGAUUCAUAGCUGUAUGAAUUUAAGAUGUAGCAGAAACUGUAGCAGGUAUAGUUGGAGGGAGUGUAUCCCUGGGGGCAGGCCCGUGGGGACUGUAUCUUGUCUUUGGCUCUGUUCUUGGCUGUCAUGUGCUGAGCAGCUUUCCUCCACCGCAUCUUUCUGCCAUGAUGUUCUGCCUCACCUCAGGCCCGGAGCAAUUGACUUGGCCAACUAGGGACUGAAAACAGGAGCUGAAUAAAUCUUUCCUCCUCUAAGUUGUUUUUCUCAGGGAUUUUGUCAGAGUGACAGUUGACUAACACUGACCAUAACAGUAACAACACUUGUGUAAAUCUGUGCCACACAAACUGCUCUUUAGGAAUUAUAGUUAUCUUACUGAAUCUUCACAACAAAGGAAAAGCUCAGGUCCCACAGGCAGGAAAGGCCAAAGAAGAGUUUGAAGCCAG